Molecule: long non-coding RNA, 680 nt
Organism: Synchiropus splendidus (mandarinfish)
Lineage: Eukaryota; Metazoa; Chordata; Actinopteri; Syngnathiformes; Callionymidae
Exons: 3
Source: RefSeq, a predicted model, not a curated record
CCAGUUCAACUUGAAGACACACCCAGCCCUGACUGUCAGCUUCCACCCAGCGCUGUUGUUGUUUAAAACAGAACCACAGAAGACAUAUACAAACAGACAUCCAGGCAACUCUGAAAGCAAAAAACGUCGACGCUAACAUCAUGGGGAAAUACGAUGAAGACGAGUGGGACGAAAAGCCUGAAGUCCCACGUCAAACACAACCAGAGAGGCACCAGACGACAGAGAGUAAAAGCUCCAAGAGCAAGUGUCCCACAUGCUGCUUGAAGACUCGUGACUGUCUGAUGAGCGCAGAGUGUGGCAGAUGCCUUCAGAUCUCCAGUGUCGUCGCCUUUUGCGGGAUGUGCAUCCGCAUGUUUAUCUAACCUGCCAGCAGAUCUUCCAAAGCAUCAAACCAGCAUGUCAUCAGCAAAAGCCCCUUUAAACUGUGUGUGAAAAAAUAAAGUAUAUUAAUCACCAAAACAUCUUUGACAUUAGAUGCAAUGUCAAAAUCAUUACUGCUGCUAACUAAAUGUUUUAUAGUCCAACGUAAAGAACAACUUUUUGAAAAUGAUUAAAGGUUUGUUUGCUACUGUAGGUUCCAGAAUGUUAUUGAUGUGUUGAUAAAUGCACAACAUGAUUGUUGUUUAUCUCAGCUUUGCGCACUAUUUAUUGCCUUGUUGAAAUAAAAAUAAAUAAAUAAA